RNAcentral lists this ribosomal RNA (836 nucleotides) under uncultured bacterium. RNAcentral's name for it is "bacterial SSU rRNA". It matches the Rfam family "Bacterial small subunit ribosomal RNA", at positions 58 to 850 of the family's 1533-position model. The record is from RNAcentral.
CAAGUCGAACGCUUUAUCUUUAAUUGAUAUGAAGAGCUUGCUCUGAUUUGAUUCUAUCUGACAAAGAGUGGCGAACGGGUGAGUAACACGUGGGUAACCUACCUCUUAGCAGGGGAUAACAUUUGGAAACAAGUGCUAAUACCGUAUAACACUAACAACCGCAUGGUUGUUAGUUGAAAGAUGGUUCUGCUAUCACUAAGAGAUGGACCCGCGGUGCAUUAGCUAGUUGGUAAGGUAAUGGCUUACCAAGGCGAUGAUGCGUAGCCGAGUUGAGAGACUGAUCGGCCACAAUGGGACUGAGACACGGCCCAUACUCCUACGGGAGGCAGCAGUAGGGAAUCUUCCACAAUGGGCGCAAGCCUGAUGGAGCAACGCCGCGUGUGUGAUGAAGGGUUUCGGCUCGUAAAACACUGUUAUAAGAGAAGAACGACAUUGAGAGUAACUGUUCAGUGUGUGACGGUAUCUUAUCAGAAAGGAACGGCUAAAUACGUGCCAGCAGCCGCGGUAAUACGUAUGUUCCAAGCGUUAUCCGGAUUUAUUGGGCGUAAAGCGAGCGCAGACGGUUAUUUAAGUCUGAAGUGAAAGCCCUCAGCUCAACUGAGGAAGGGCUUUGGAAACUGGAUAACUUGAGUGCAGUAGAGGAAAGUGGAACUCCAUGUGUAGCGGUGAAAUGCGUAGAUAUAUGGAAGAACACCGGUGGCGAAAGCGGCUUUCUGGACUGUAACUGACGUUGAGGCUCGAAAGUGUGGGUAGCAAACAGGAUUAGAUACCCUGGUAGUCCACACCGUAAACGAUGAGUGCUAGAUGUUCGAGGGUUUCCGCCCUUGAGUGUCGCA